AUUGAACGCUGGCGGCAUGCCUUACACAUGCAAGUCGAACGGUAACAGGUCUUCGGAUGCUGACGAGUGGCGAACGGGUGAGUAAUACAUCGGAACGUGCCCGAUCGUGGGGGAUAACGGAGCGAAAGCUUUGCUAAUACCGCAUACGAUCUACGGAUGAAAGCAGGGGACCGCAAGGCCUUGCGCGGACGGAGCGGCCGAUGGCAGAUUAGGUAGUUGGUGGGAUAAAAGCUUACCAAGCCGACGAUCUGUAGCUGGUCUGAGAGGACGACCAGCCACACUGGGACUGAGACACGGCCCAGACUCCUACGGGAGGCAGCAGUGGGGAAUUUUGGACAAUGGGCGAAAGCCUGAUCCAGCCAUGCCGCGUGCAGGAUGAAGGCCUUCGGGCUGUAAACUGCUUUUGUACGGAACGAAAAGACUCUUUCUAAUAAAGAGGGUCCAUGACGGUACCGUAAGAAUAAACACCGGCUAACUACGU
This 481-nucleotide ribosomal RNA is filed under the name uncultured bacterium. RNAcentral describes it as "partial 16S ribosomal RNA". It matches the Rfam family "Bacterial small subunit ribosomal RNA", at positions 30 to 506 of the family's 1533-position model. The record is from RNAcentral.